Molecule: small nucleolar RNA, 110 nt
Organism: Cercocebus atys (sooty mangabey)
Lineage: Eukaryota; Metazoa; Chordata; Mammalia; Primates; Cercopithecidae
Source: Ensembl
AUGGUACCAUCAAAAAACCCUGAUUCUUUGUACUAGGAUGCAAAAGAAAACAAUCCUUGUGCCGUCUGUCUCUCGUGAUGGUGGCCCAGAUAGAACUGGGGAAUACAUCU